AGGAGAGUUUGAUCCUGGCUCAGAACGAACGCUGGCGGCGCGUUUUAAGCAUGCAAGUCGAGCGGUAGCAGCAAUGCGAGAGCGGCGGACGGGUGAGUAACACGUGGGUAAUCUGCCCUCCGGUCGGGAAUAGCCUGUGGAAACACAGGAUAAUACCGGAUGCGAUGGUUUUCACACAAGUGGAGAUCAGGAAAGGAGCCAAGGCUCCGCCGGAGGAUGAGCCCGCGUCCCAUUAGCUAGAUGGUGAGGUAAAGGCCCACCAUGGCGAUGAUGGGUAGCCGGCCUGAGAGGGUGAACGGCCACAUUGGAACUGAGACACGGUCCAGACUCCUACGGGAGGCAGCAGCUAAGAAUCUUCCACAAUGGACGAAAGUCUGAUGGAGCGACGCCGCGUGGGCGAUGAAGGCCGUGAGGUUGUAAAGCCCUUUUCUUGAGGGGGAAUAAAGCGGGCAGGGAAUGGCCUGCUGAUGACGUGAAUCAAGGAAUAAGCCCCGGCUAACUACGUGCCAGCAGCCGCGGUAACACGUAGGGGGCGAGCGUUGUUCGGAAUCAUUGGGCGUAAAGGGCGCGCAGGCGGCCGCGUAAGUCUGGUGUAAAAUGGUUGUGCUCAACACAAUCAUGCGCUGGAAACUGCGGGGCUUGAGUCAACGAGGGGAUGCCGGAAUUCCAGGUGUAGGGGUGAAAUCUGUAGAUAUCUGGAAGAACACCAGUGGCGAAGGCAGGCAUCUGGCGACUGACUGACGCUGAGGCGCGAAGGUGCGGGGAGCAAACAGGUUUAGAUACCCUGGUAGUCCCCU
RNAcentral lists this ribosomal RNA (797 nucleotides) under uncultured Bacillota bacterium. RNAcentral describes it as "bacterial SSU rRNA". It matches the Rfam family "Bacterial small subunit ribosomal RNA", at positions 1 to 799 of the family's 1533-position model. Lineage: Bacteria; Bacillati; Bacillota. The record is from RNAcentral.